Molecule: ribosomal RNA, 738 nt
Filed under: Moorena sp. SIO3H5
Lineage: Bacteria; Bacillati; Cyanobacteriota; Cyanophyceae; Coleofasciculales; Coleofasciculaceae
Description: bacterial SSU rRNA
Rfam family: Bacterial small subunit ribosomal RNA
Source: RNAcentral
CAUGGAGAGUUUGAUCCUGGCUCAGGAUGAACGCUGGCGGUAUGCUUAACACAUGCAAGUCGAACGCCCCUUCGGGGGAGUGGCGGACGGGUGAGUAACGCGUGAGAAUCUGCCUUAGGGUCGGGGACAACCACCGGAAACAGUGGCUAAUACCGGAUGUGCCGAGAGGUGAAAGAUUUAUUGCCAUAAGAGGAGCUCGCGUCUGAUUAGCUAGUUGGUAGGGUAAAGGCCUACCAAGGCAACGAUCAGUAGCUGGUCUGAGAGGAUGAGCAGCCACACUGGGACUGAGACACGGCCCAGACUCCUACGGGAGGCAGCAGUGGGGAAUUUUCCGCAAUGGGCGAAAGCCUGACGGAGCAAUACCGCGUGAGGGAGGAAGGCUUUUGGGUUGUAAACCUCUUUUAUCAGGGAAGAAGAAAGUGACGGUACCUGAGGAAAAAGCAUCGGCUAACUCCGUGCCAGCAGCCGCGGUAAUACGGAGGAUGCAAGCGUUAUCCGGAAUUAUUGGGCGUAAAGCGUCCGUAGGUGGUACCUCAAGUCGGCUGUUAAAGACCAGGGCUUAACUCUGGGCAGGCAGUGGAAACUGAGGAACUAGAGGGCAGUAGGGGUAGAGGGAAUUCCUAGUGUAGCGGUGAAAUGCGUAGAUUUCGGGAAGAACAUCGGUGGCGAAGGCGCUCUACUGGACUGAACCUGACACUGAGGGACGAAAGCUAGGGGAGCGAAUGGGAUUAGAUACCC